Molecule: ribosomal RNA, 938 nt
Filed under: Montagnula donacina
Lineage: Eukaryota; Fungi; Ascomycota; Dothideomycetes; Pleosporales; Didymosphaeriaceae
Description: SSU rRNA
Rfam family: Eukaryotic small subunit ribosomal RNA
Source: RNAcentral
GUGAAACUGCGAAUGGCUCAUUAAAUCAGUUAUCGUUUAUUUGAUAGUACCUUACUACUUGGAUAACCGUGGUAAUUCUAGAGCUAAUACAUGCUAAAAACCCCAACUUCGGGAGGGGUGUAUUUAUUAGAUAAAAAACCAAUGCCCUUCGGGGCUCCUUGGUGAUUCAUGAUAACUUCUCAGAUCGCAUAGCCUUGAGCUGGCGACGGUUCAUUCAAAUUUCUGCCCUAUCAACUUUCGAUGGUAAGGUAGUGGCUUACCAUGGUUGCAACGGGUAACGGGGAAUUAGGGUUCGAUUCCGGAGAGGGAGCCUGAGAAACGGCUACCACAUCCAAGGAAGGCAGCAGGCGCGCAAAUUACCCAAUUCCGAUACGGAGAGGUAGUGACAAUAAAUACUGAUACAGGGCUCUUUUGGGUCUUGUAAUUGGAAUGAGUACAAUUUAAACCUCUUAACGAGGAACAAUUGGAGGGCAAGUCUGGUGCCAGCAGCCGCGGUAAUUCCAGCUCCAAUAGCGUAUAUUAAAGUUGUUGCAGUUAAAAAGCUCGUAGUUGAACCUUUGGCCUGGCUGGCAGGUCCGCCUCACCGCGUGCACUUGUCCGGCCGGGCCUUUUCUUCUGGAGAACCGCAUGCCCUUCACUGGGUGUGUUGGGGAACCAGGACUUUUACUUUGAAAAAAUUAGAGUGUUCAAAGCAGGCCUUUGCUCGAAUACGUUAGCAUGGAAUAAUAGAAUAGGACGUGCGGUCCUAUUUUGUUGGUUUCUAGGACCGCCGUAAUGAUUAAUAGGGACAGUCGGGGGCAUCAGUAUUCAUUUGUCAGAGGUGAAAUUCUUGGAUUUAUUGAAGACUAACUACUGCGAAAGCAUUUGCCCAAGGAUGUUUUCAUUAAUCAGUGAACGAAAGUUAGGGGAUCGAAGACGAUCAGAUACCGUCGUAGUCU